AUAUGGAGGAUGCGAGCGUUAUCCGGAUUUAUUGGGUUUAAAGGGAGCGUAGGUGGGAUAUUAAGUCAGCUGUGAAAGUUUGGGGCUCAACCUUAAAAUUGCAGUUGAUACUGGUUUACUUGAGUACGGUACAGGUGGGCGGAAUUCGUGGUGUAGCGGUGUAAUGCUUAGAUAUCACGAAGAACUCCGAUCGCGAAGGCAGCUCACCGGGCCGGAACUGACACUGAUGCUCGAAAGUGCGGGUAUCAAACAGGAUUAGAUACCCUGGUAGUCCGCACAGUAAACGAUGAAUACUCGCUGUUUGCGAUACACGGUAAGCGGCCAAGCGAAAGCGUUAAGUAUUCCACCUGGGGAGUACGCCGGCAACGGUGAAACUUAAAGGAAUUGACGGGG
Molecule: ribosomal RNA, 393 nt
Filed under: uncultured bacterium
Lineage: Bacteria
Description: partial 16S ribosomal RNA
Rfam family: Bacterial small subunit ribosomal RNA
Source: RNAcentral